Molecule: non-coding RNA, 26 nt
Filed under: Rattus norvegicus (Norway rat)
Lineage: Eukaryota; Metazoa; Chordata; Mammalia; Rodentia; Muridae
Source: RNAcentral
UAAAAGAUUGCAAUUGUUCUGAAGAG